GAGGGAAUCUUCCACAAUGGACGAAAGUCUGAUGGAGCAACGCCGCGUGAACGAUGAAGGCCUUCGGGUCGUAAAGUUCUGUUGUAAGGGAAGAACAAGUGCCGCAGGCAAUGGCGGCACCUUGACGGUACCUUGCGAGAAAGCCACGGCUAACUACGUGCCAGCAGCCGCGGUAAUACGUAGGUGGCAAGCGUUGUCCGGAAUUAUUGGGCGUAAAGCGCGCGCAGGCGGCCUCUUAAGUCUGAUGUGAAAGCCCCCGGCUCAACCGGGGAGGGCCAUUGGAAACUGGGAGGCUUGAGUAUAGGAGAGAAGAGUGGAAUUCCACGUGUAGCGGUGAAAUGCGUAGAGAUGUGGAGGAACACCAGUGGCGAAGGCGACUCUUUGGCCUAUAACUGACGCUGAGGCGCGAAAGCGUGGGGAGCAAACAGGAUUAGAUACCCUGGUAGUCCACGCCGUAAACGAUGAGUGCUAGGUGUUGGAGGGUUUCCGCCCUUCAGUGCUGAAGCUAACGCAUUAAGCACUCCGCCUGGGGAGUACGGUCGCAAGGCUG
This 550-nucleotide ribosomal RNA is filed under the name uncultured bacterium. Its description in RNAcentral is "bacterial SSU rRNA". It matches the Rfam family "Bacterial small subunit ribosomal RNA", at positions 355 to 896 of the family's 1533-position model. The record is from RNAcentral.